Amphiprion ocellaris (clown anemonefish) is the source of this 2702-nucleotide long non-coding RNA. The record is from Ensembl. NCBI's taxonomy places the organism in Eukaryota, Metazoa, Chordata, Actinopteri, Pomacentridae.
AAAUGGAUGAAAUAAAUAAUGUGUUGCUGACAGUGAGGUGUAAAUACUGAACAGUCACAAAUAAUUCCGCUAACUUGACUGAACGUGGCUGCAGUUCCCGUUAUUUAAACAUGAAUAUUGUUACUGUCCAAAGACAGUGGUUUUUGGAAUUUCAAGUUGGUUGUUUUUUGUGUUUAUUUUUUAUAUGUUUGAAUUUUGUAUUAGAAUUGUUCAUAAUGGGAGAGGUGAAUGUACACCUUUAAGAGGUCACAUGGCUGCGUUUUAGCGCGGGGUCACCCGUGUGGGAUUGUGGGUCAUAGCAGCACGGCUACGGAGGAGAACGCCAUUGUUGCUUCAGAGGACGCCAUUAUUGCUAAAGAGGACGGCAUUCUACACGGUCUGAGAGGCGCACACGAGUGAAAGUAGCAAUUCCUCCUUAAGGUCAGAGAUUGCAGCAUCUGAGGGCCUCUUCAAAAGAAGAUGUAGUUGAUGAAGGCGUUCUGGAGCAGGGCCAGAAAGACCACAACCAAGCAGCCUUGAGAUCUUAGGCAGCGUCUCCCUCAGACCAAAGAACUACAGACUCUUCACAACCUGCUCAAACUCUUGGUACAGGACCUCACCACACGGGUCAAGAAGGUUUCCGUCUCAUUUCUACUCUGAAGCUCACCUUCUCCUGCUCAAACUGCUGACAAAUGUUUCUGCUGCUCUAAAGUCUGGUCUCCAGAACUUCCUAAAAACUCUCAAAGUCUCUUCUGCUGCAGGUUGCUUUGUAGAACUGUUGCAGAAAACCUCACUAAACCACAUGGAGGGGCCUCAAGAUAGUCGUCCAAAUGAAACCGUACAAAAACCAAACUAACACAACCCAAACGCUAAAGUCUCCUGCAGCCUACCAGAGAACCUCUGAGAACAGAGAAUCAGAACAGGAACUCUUACCUUCUAGACAACCAGCGUUGGUUCACAAGAAUACAGAAUGUGUCUGACCAAAAACCUCUAAAGACUCACUACAGCCAAGAUAAAGACACAACUCAGCUGGACCAAAUCCACUAAUCACUGCACACAUUAGCACCAUGUGCUAACUGUGGCUAAAGAACCACCUUUACCAAGACAACUAUCCAGUACAAAGCCCUAGAACACACCAAGAAACAUAUUAAAGACGAUUUUACUGCUGGAAGCUGCAAGCCAAUGCCUAAAGAACAAACUAAAGGAAUGGAGCCAAACCCAGUUCAGUGGUGAAGAGAAACAGAGGAAAUGUUUGUCUGCAGCUAAAUAAAGCAGGAAGACACUGAGCUGCUCAGGUGUUCCUGAUAACACCAAGCAGCCACCUGGACAGCCAAUAGGAACACAGCUUACUGGAAGUCCAGAGGGCUGGGUUAGUGAAGGAAAUUUAGUUUAAAGUUGAAGCAGAAAGUUAACAAAGGAAGUUGAAAACCACCUUCUGAUACCUGAAAUCUCUGAGUUUUCACACAAAGAACACCUGAACAUGUCAAACUAGCUUCAUAGUAGAACCAUCAUUGUAAAAACGUCAUAGUAUGGUGUGUUGCUCAAAAAACAUUAUGACCUGGCUGUCUAGGGUUGCCGAAGAGCAACACAAAAACAGGACAAACGCUGGUUUCCAGGGGGUUAGGAGGCUAUUUAUUUGAAAGAGUAAGUUUACAACAACACAACAUGUGAGCAGAAAAAUCACAGUCUGUCUUUAGUUGAGCUGAAAAUAUUAGUUUUUGUCUUUUUUAUUGACCAAACUUUUCAGGAAGUAGAUGAAGAAUAAUUAAAGCUCUCAUGUAGAAGUCCAACUUAUUUUGGAUCCUUGUGGAGAGUUUAAUCUUAGAGUUUGUAAAGCUGUUGAGUUUUUAGUCACAUGGAUUGUUUUGACAUUUAAUAACCGAGUCCUGAAAUAAAAUUACAGUUGUGGAUUUCUGUCAUUUAGUCUGAACUAAACAAAUAACAGCAGCAUAAAUCUCAAACGUCAUUAUGAGAAGUCUGGAUUGAGGUUUCCCACUUGAUAAUGAUCAAAACAUGAAAUUUAGGUUGGUUUAAAGGAAUAUUCCACCUUAAAUCUUUGAAUGUUGACCUAAAAGGUUGGUUUCAGGAAGUAUUCCACCUACAAGGUCCUCAAACAUCCACCUUAAAGGAACAUUCCACCAAAAAUCCUUAGACAUGCACCUAAAAUGUUGGUUUAACCGAGUAUUCCAUCCAAAAUCCUCAAAGAGACCUGAGGGGCUGAUUAAAAGGAAUAUUCCACCUAAAACCUCAAAUAUAGACCCGAAAGGGGGUAGAACGUGGUAGAACGGCUCUGAAGAAUCUUGUACUUGUCUUAUCUGGAACAAUCUAACAGCCUAAACUGUUAACAGCAGUGUAAAGAAGCAAACAUACAGGCAUAGAUUAGGACUCAAACUAGAUUUAUUGUAGAAAACAAAUCAGCUUAGAGGCAUUUGUUCACACGUGGCUGAAUAGGAGGCCGUCCAAUCAGAUUCGAGGUCUUCACUCUGUAGGUUGUUUGUUGGGUGAGACUCUUUGAUCUCCAUCAGCUGACAUGGAUGUUUGAUGGUCUUCUUCUCUAGUGCCAGAUGAUUCAUCCAUGAAUUCAGCAGCUACAGACUGAAAUGAAGCUCAUGCUGCCGUUAUUGAAUUCCUGUUCCAGAUCAAAUGUUCAGAGCUCACCUUGAAUGCAGCCGUCUGCUGUCUGAUAGUUUUUCUCAUUGUAGUCUUCAAUAAAGUCUUUUUCC